Molecule: ribosomal RNA, 496 nt
Filed under: uncultured bacterium
Lineage: Bacteria
Description: partial 16S ribosomal RNA
Rfam family: Bacterial small subunit ribosomal RNA
Source: RNAcentral
AUCGAACGCUGGCGGAAUGCUUUACACAUGCAAGUCGAACGGUAGAGGGGGCAACCCCUCGAGAGUGGCGAACGGGUGAGUAAUAUAUCGGAACGUGCCCAGUCGUGGGGGAUAACGUAGCGAAAGUUACGCUAAUACCGCAUACGAUCUAAGGAUGAAAGCGGGGGAUCGCAAGACCUCGCGCGAUUGGAGCGGCCGAUAUCAGAUUAGGUAGUUGGUGGGGUAAAGGCUCACCAAGCCAACGAUCUGUAGCUGGUCUGAGAGGACGACCAGCCACACUGGAACUGAGCCACGGUCCAGACUCCUACGGGAGGCAGCAGUGGGGAAUUUUGGACAAUGGACGCAAGUCUGAUCCAGCCAUUCCGCGUGCAGGAUGAAGGCCCUCGGGUUGUAAACUGCUUUUGUACGGAACGAAAAGGUCUCUCUUAAUACGGGGGGCUCAUGACGGUACCGUAAGAAUAAGCACCGGCUAACUACGUGCCAGCCGCCGCGGUAA